Molecule: ribosomal RNA, 253 nt
Filed under: uncultured bacterium
Lineage: Bacteria
Description: partial 16S ribosomal RNA
Rfam family: Bacterial small subunit ribosomal RNA
Source: RNAcentral
UACGUAGGUGGCAAGCGUUAUCCGGAAUUAUUGGGCGUAAAGCGCGCGCAGGCGGUUUCUUAAGUCUGAUGUGAAAGCCCACGGCUCAACCGUGGAGGGUCAUUGGAAACUGGGGAACUUGAGUGCAGAAGAGAAAGGCGGAAUUCCACGUGUAGCGGUGAAAUGCGUAGAGAUGUGGAGGAACACCAGUGGCGAAGGCGGCUUUUUGGUCUGUAACUGACGCUGAGGCGCGAAAGCGUGGGGAGCAAACAGG